CAGUCUCUCUCUCAAACUCUUUUUUAAUUUCAGGGUCCCGCUAUUUUUAUUCACUACUUUUCUAAUUGGCACCCUCUCUUACGCUCAAAUCCUCUAUCGUCCUCUGUCUCUCGUCCCCUCCCAAUCUCUGACCCUCACUUGCUCCCUCUCAUCUAGAAUCCCUUUUCCUCUUCGUUCUCAGACUUCAUGCCUGCACCAUUCUCUCUCUCUUUUCCUCACAAUCCCUUUUAUAUUCUCAAGAUUUUAGACUAAAAUUUAUCCAAUUGGAGAGCAAGGUGCGGAACCUUCUUCCUCUUUAAACUGAUGGUUCUGAAAACUGAUCGGGAAGAAUCUGAGACAUCUAUCUCCUCGUUCUCAACCUCUAACAGCCUCCAGGUCAGGUAAUCCAUUUCUGCAGACUUGUAUGUCAAUAUAGUUUUUUUGCCGCUCAAUUUCAGCUUAGAGUGUUCCCUCUGGAGAGGCCAGGCUUAGGGUUGAAGGAAAUUGCACAAGAGUACAAUCUGAACUGGAAUUCUUCUAACACUGAAGCGGGCAGUCAUGUAGCAUAUUGAAUUUGGGAUUCUUCUACCAAUCUAGCACUUUACAUCCAACUCAUCAGCUCAUAAGCUGUCUAGCCUAACUAAAUCAAGUUUCUAGACCAUGCUUGACGAGGGUUUUGAAAUGUAAUUAUAGGCAUAGUACAAUUUCCCUCUACUUCCAUUUGGAUAAGUGUAACUUUGACAAUGAAUCUAUUGAUCAUUGUAAUACGUAUGGAGUUAUUUUUUGAAUGAAAAUUCUUUAAUAUGUGUUAUCUUA
Molecule: long non-coding RNA, 795 nt
Organism: Prunus persica (peach)
Lineage: Eukaryota; Viridiplantae; Streptophyta; Magnoliopsida; Rosales; Rosaceae
Exons: 2
Source: RefSeq, a predicted model, not a curated record